AGCGAACGCUGGCGGCAGGCUUAACACAUGCAAGUCGAGCGGGCACUUUCGGGUGUCAGCGGCGGACGGGUGAGUAACGCGUGGGAACGUGCCUUCUGGUUCGGAAUAACUCAGGGAAACUUGAGCUAAUACCGGAUACGCCCUUUUGGGGAAAGGUUUACUGCCGGAAGAUCGGCCCGCGUCUGAUUAGCUAGUUGGUGGGGUAAUGGCCUACCAAGGCGACGAUCAGUAGCUGGUCUGAGAGGAUGAUCAGCCACACUGGGACUGAGACACGGCCCAGACUCCUACGGGAGGCAGCAGUGGGGAAUAUUGGACAAUGGGCGCAAGCCUGAUCCAGCCAUGCCGCGUGAGUGAUGAAGGCCUUAGGGUUGUAAAGCUCUUUUAUCCGGGACGAUAAUGACGGUACCGGAGGAAUAAGCCCCGGCUAACUUCGUGCCAGCCGCCGCCGUAACAC
This 454-nucleotide ribosomal RNA is filed under the name uncultured bacterium. RNAcentral's name for it is "bacterial SSU rRNA". It matches the Rfam family "Bacterial small subunit ribosomal RNA", at positions 29 to 526 of the family's 1533-position model. The record is from RNAcentral.